AGCUUUGCACAGUGACAGUAUCAUAGCCAAUGAGGUUUAUCCGAGGCGCGAUUAUUGCUGAUUUUGACUCAGGUCAUGAUCUCAGGGUUGUGAGAUGGAGCCCCACGAGAUGGGCUCUGUGAUGGGUGUGGAGCCUACUUAAGAUUCUCUCUCUCCCUCUUCCUCUGCAUAUCCCUUCUCUCCCUGUCUUAAAAAAAAAAAAAUUCUCUGGAGUUUUAUAAAGAUACAACUGCAUUAUUGUACCAAGUAAUAAUUU
This 256-nucleotide small nuclear RNA is filed under the name Zalophus californianus (California sea lion). Its description in RNAcentral is "U4 spliceosomal RNA (ENSZCAG00015005866.1)". The stretch from base 1 to 64 matches the Rfam family "U4 spliceosomal RNA". Lineage: Eukaryota; Metazoa; Chordata; Mammalia; Carnivora; Otariidae. The record is from RNAcentral.